RNAcentral lists this transfer RNA (584 nucleotides) under Borreliella burgdorferi (Lyme disease spirochete). RNAcentral describes it as "partial may contain 16S ribosomal RNA and 16S-23S ribosomal RNA intergenic spacer". The stretch from base 226 to 299 matches the Rfam family "tRNA". The record is from RNAcentral. Lineage: Bacteria; Pseudomonadati; Spirochaetota; Spirochaetia; Spirochaetales; Borreliaceae.
UGGAAGUCGUAAACAAGGUAGCCGUACUGGGAAAGUGCGGCUGGAUCACUCCUUUCUAAGAGAAAGAUAAACUAAGGUAAUUCCAUUAACUCUUCCCUACUCUUUUCUUUUGAUAAGAGAGUUUUUAAAACCAGUGUUAUUUAUGUAAGUUUAAGAGAAGUUUAUGUAUUAAAUUAUUGAUAUUAAAUAGUUUUAUUAGGCUUAGACUUAAUUUUAGGUCAUUUUGGGGGUUUAGCUCAGUUGGCUAGAGCAUCGGCUUUGCAAGCCGAGGGUCAAGGGUUCGAGUCCCUUAACCUCCAUUGGGCUUAUGCCCUAAAUUGUAAUUAAGUAUGUUUUUAAGUAACUUUGUUAAAGUAAUUGUUGGAAUGUGAAACACAAGAAGUUAAAAUUUCUGGGUUAAGUUGAGAUCUGUUGAUAUUAAGAAAAAUGUCUAGAAGCAAAAGCAAGCUUUCGAUAAAACCCGAAGUUGUUUCGCUAAAGUGCAAGGAUUAAACAGGAUUGUAUUUUUCAGCAGCCUAUUUUAUAAACGAUCUGCAUUUAGUAAAUAGUUUUUAGUUAGGAAAUAAUGUAGAUUACUAAGUGUG